GGGGUGGUGACUCAGUGGCAGAGAGCUUGCCUGGCCUGCAUGAGGCAAUGAGUUCAAUCCUCAGUACCACA
RNAcentral lists this transfer RNA (71 nucleotides) under Marmota monax (woodchuck). Its description in RNAcentral is "tRNA.Ala". The record is from RNAcentral. Lineage: Eukaryota; Metazoa; Chordata; Mammalia; Rodentia; Sciuridae.